CAGCAAUGGCGCCACUGAGAGAUCCCGUCGCGAUCCCGAGUUAAGUUUGAAGACGUUGGUUUGGCGGUAUCGGUUGUCGUUGCAAUAAUGUCUUCAGUUCAGCAUCUGAGAGAGUUUAUCAAGAAGAGAUUAACUUCAGCUGCAGAAGAAAUCUUCUCAGAGUUUGAAAAAACGAUCGUCCGGUAUGAGGAGGAGAUCCGUCAGCUAAGACUGCUUGAUAUCAGACCCGGGAUAAAGUCACACAAUACAGGUCUGGAUGAUCAGCAGAUCUGUUACCAGGAGAGGAGUCUCAACCAGGAGGACCCAGAGCCUCCACAGAUUAAAGAGGAACAGGAGGAAAUGUGUAGCAGUGAGGAAGGAGAGCAGCUUGAACUGAAGCAGGAGGAUGAAGGGAUUCAUGUCUGGACCGGAGAACAGCUGGAUUUGUUGUGGAAACCUGGACUAAAGCUGACCAGAAUAGGUAUGUAAAAGUGUAAUAUACAGAUUUCAUAAUAUGGAAAUGAAUAUGACUCAUAACAAAAUGUCACAAAGACACAUGGCGUGCAUUACCGCCUGGGAUACUGCCUCACUGAAGACAUGUUUUCUGUUAGCACAGUAAAAUAAAAACUGGGUUUCAAAUCUUCUGUUGUUUAAUAAAAAAAUAAAAUUUCCACCAGAUUUAAGUCAUGUUAUCCCAGAAUUGUACGCAGUAUGUAGAAAAAUGUUGAGACAAUGAAAACUGUGGAUUAUUGGCCACAAGGACCAAGUUGGAGCAGCGAGCUGUACGCCUCAUAAAUGAUGACUUUCUGCAUGUAAACAGAAUUAUUCUCUGUUCACUGCAUGAGAGAGAAUAUUUAAAUAUCGCUCACAUAUCUGAGAGACCUGCUCACAGUGUAACAUCAAGACCUCCCACAGCAACAUGAUUGUAAGGAAAACUGUAGCCAGGAGAGGAACUCCAGUCUGGACCAGCAGAACACAGAUCCUCCACAGACUAAAGAGGAACAGGAAGAAAUCUCCACCAAUCAGGAAGAAGAGCAGCUUGCACUGAAGCAGGAAACCAAUGGCAUCAUCAUCUGGACCGGGCAGGAGCUGGGCAUCAUGUGGAACCCUGAAGUAAAGUUGCACAGAAUACGUAUGCAAAACCUUAAUAGAUAGAGUCGGUUUUGUAUUAAGAAAUCUAACUCAUGUUGGAUCCUAAUCAGACCUCAGAUGUAUGUUAAUGAGACACAUGAUGAAUCUAAGCACCAACUGCAACAAGGAAACUGAAUUAAUAUUCUAAGAGCCAAAAUGUCUAGCCCUUCCAAUGUCGCUCCUGUCAGGACUGUCCUAUGUUGGUCAUAAUUGUAAUAAACUUGAGCCCAAGAGAGAGGAAGACUCCCUACAAUGAGUUGAAACAUUACCUUGUUAUUUAUUCCUGC
This is a long non-coding RNA of Astatotilapia calliptera (eastern happy), 1397 nucleotides long. The record is from Ensembl. Lineage: Eukaryota; Metazoa; Chordata; Actinopteri; Cichliformes; Cichlidae.